AUCCAGAUGACGCGUCCCAAAUAGGACGAAACAUGCGUUUUGGAU
This 45-nucleotide non-coding RNA is filed under the name Schistosoma mattheei. The record is from RNAcentral. Lineage: Eukaryota; Metazoa; Platyhelminthes; Trematoda; Strigeidida; Schistosomatidae.